Girardinichthys multiradiatus is the source of this 1270-nucleotide long non-coding RNA. RefSeq lists it as uncharacterized. The record is from RefSeq and is a predicted model, not a curated record. The transcript has 3 exons. NCBI's taxonomy places the organism in Eukaryota, Metazoa, Chordata, Actinopteri, Cyprinodontiformes, Goodeidae.
UUAAUACCAUGGUUUCUUUUAAUGAAGAUUCACAAGUAACUUAUUAUAUGAGAUCAUUGAUCAAAGGUAAUAUGUCUGCUAAUUAAGGUAAAGAAGAUUGUGUCCCACCUCUUUUAACAAAACGCGACCAACUUUAUUACCAUGGAGAUACUGAUACGCUUCUGAGCUUUUUAGAUUACUCAUCGCUUUGCCAUCUGAAGCCACCGCGUUAAUGACGUAACUAAAUAUGCUAGUGUAGGUUAUCUGCGGCCACUUUUUCAGAUCGUCCUCCCAUCCCUCGAUAGCUGUAGGUAGCAGUAUAACAGUACUGCCACAUUUGAGCUGUGUCAGCUGAUGUUCCCACAUAUUUUUGCCCCAAAUGCUCGAAAAAGGAAGAUUAGUGCCUAUUGUUAGCAUGAAAACAAAAGCCGGUUCCGGUUGGCGGCGGAAGUCGUACCCAUAAAUCGCGCAAGGCAUCAUGGGGGAUAGGAAUAAGAUGGAUAGAUCAUAACCUGGAAAAAGGCUUUCACAAAUCCCAGACUGGGUUUGAAAGAUUCUGCUAUUAGUGUAGAACAAUCUAGUCCAGGUUUGAAGAGUCUAAAUAUUGUACCUUUGAAGUUGGAGCAGAUUAAAGAUGCUUUAAUUGAUGCAAAUGAGGUGGAACGGCUCUUCAGCUGUUUCCCGAAUCGGAACCUACAAUCGGAAGCCAACUUCAGCCUCUUACUCUGUCCAUUAGCAAAAUGGCGGACUUGAGUCAUUUCUGCCAGGCUCUUCACCAAUGCAUUGAUGGCCAAAUUUGAAUAUGAAGAGGAAAGAAGGCAAGAGAUCUUUGGAGAAGUUUUAAUGAGCAAUAAAAGCUUCAACCAGCCCACGUGUGAUUUUGCAGUUCGUGUAGAAAAAUCAGGUAUUCUGUGGUGCCCAAGUUGAACCAGAGUUCGUGCCCUGGAAACUCUGUUCGUUGAUGGAUACAUGCGUUACCGGUUCAAAAUCAUUUUCAGGAACCAGAACAGGCUUCAAACUGCCUUCGUGGGAGGAAGUAACAAAGAAAAAAUUACAAAACAGCUUCCCAGCUAACGACAGCACCUCUGUGUGGAGGAGUUUGCAGACUAUUACUAACUAUGGGAGUCGUACCCCCAUGCUGUAAUGACACCCCACCUGGCAGAGGAUCUGAACCAUGUCUUUUGUAGGUUUGAUUAUCAGCCUUUCAUACCUCACCUUCACACAAAGGGUCGACCAGCAUUUCCCACUAAUCAGAAUGAGAAUCAGCUUUAUUGCCAAGUUCGUACAUACA